UGCCUCAUUUUCAGUAAUUUUGGGCCUGGGUGCUACUGCUGCCCAGACAAGUGAAUGUGGCCACGUUGGCCCACAGGUCAUGCUUCCAUCACAGUAGGCAUGUUGCUGUGAUGGCAAUGGUACCUGUGACAUGU
This is a small nucleolar RNA of Suncus etruscus (white-toothed pygmy shrew), 134 nucleotides long. RefSeq annotates it as small nucleolar RNA SNORA1. The record is from RefSeq and is a predicted model, not a curated record. Lineage: Eukaryota; Metazoa; Chordata; Mammalia; Eulipotyphla; Soricidae. The transcript has a single exon.